Long non-coding RNA from Hyla sarda, 1578 nucleotides. RefSeq lists it as uncharacterized. The record is from RefSeq and is a predicted model, not a curated record. NCBI's taxonomy places the organism in Eukaryota, Metazoa, Chordata, Amphibia, Anura, Hylidae. The transcript has 3 exons.
GUUCUGAUCACAUGGUAUGUGAUCACCUGAGACCCCCACGAUCUCUCCUGCCCAGUGACAGAAGAAUCCUCAGUCCCCUCCACCUGCCUGGAGCCUGGGAGGAUUGUAAUGGAGACUGGUCUGAGCAGCCCAGGGGCUCCACACAAUGAGAUAGUUAAAAGUUUACAGCAAAGGAACACGUCAUGUCUACAUAUGGCAGGGUUUGACAUGUUAUGAGAAGCUAAAGGAAAAUGGAACAGUGGUGGGAAUCCGGUGAAGCACCGAAGCAUGUAAUCGAAAGUCCGGCAGACGGCGGUGUAGAGCCUCUGAAGUACCUUCAAUAUCAACACUGCUGCCAUUUUCCUAGCUUCAAAAUGGGGGAAUUGUGAGAGAAUAAUAAUGAAAAAUUGGUUUAAGCGGCCAUGUUGUCCAUUUUCAACCAUAUUUGAACUAUGUAUUACCUCUCAGAUAGACUAUGGUCCUAGAGGCAACCAAGGAAUUCCUGGAGACUUUUCUAUACCCAUAAGAGGGCCUCUACCCAUAACAAGGGCCCCUUUCUAUAGGAAUCGAUAGAGGCCCCACUGUGCACAUCUUGUAUUAAUUAAGUAUUGUAUCAUGUAUAUGACAUCACCUUACUUGUUUUUUCUACUUGUACCAUAUAUAAGGGGGUCCUGCCCCCACCUCAAUAGAACUGAUUUUGAACACACAGUGUCUGUGUCAGUCAUUUCUCCGAGCUCGUAAUAUAUAUAUUAAUUAGAAACUCUAUGACAUCGCAUUAAAGUCCCUUUGACAGACUUCCCUAACAAUGACACUGAGUCCCACAGCCCACCUGGAAACAGCUCCUCUAUAACUUUGCACACAAUUGGCGGGUUCCAGCAGUGGAUUACCAUUUGGCAACCCUGUGUGACCACCUGAUAAUCCAUCGAUGUAUACAAAAGUCUCAUGUCUGGUCACCAAUUAUAAUAUCUAUAUUAUGAUGAUGAUUAUUAUUGUCUCCUUCUUUAUAUCCUACAUGUAAUAUUGUGAUAACGUGAAAUUAACAGUUUUGUUACGCCAGGGCACUGUUAGCCUAUCCACGGUCAGAGGUUUCUGACAGCUUCUCCUGAGGUAGGCACGUGGCAAUAAAUACUCCGAUACAAUGUUACGGAGAACUGUCUUUACUGGGGCAGGAUAGAUGGUAAAAUAUUUACAGCAUAGAAUGGUGCACAGGGAGGUGCAAAGUAAACCAAGGAAUCCUAUUGCCUUGCUGGGACUUGAAGUUUGUGGUGUAUGGUGACUGACUUGUGCUAAAUGACAAUCCACGCUAACUUUGGUGCUGCAGACUGAAGACUACUGACUUUCUUCCCCAGGGUUUAGUGUUUACUGCUACGCACUGACGUUCACCUGAGCGUAGGGGAUUUUCCUCAGGAGAUCCGUGGCUGUAGGAUUAGACUUCUUAUUAGCUUAUGGCCUCCUCAGAUCACCGCACACUUCUCUCUGCCUUCUUCCACUCUGUACCUCAGUUCACAACAGAAAUUGAAACAAAACUGGGCGUCUCCUCCUCCCCGCCUCCUCCCCUGCGCCCAGCGUAACGCUUCACAGGAAGCAGACUGACGUGUA